UACGGGGGGGGCAAGCGUUGUUCGGAAUUACUGGGCGUAAAGGGCUCGUAGGUGGCCAACUAAGUCAGACGUGAAAUCCCUCGGCUUAACCGGGGAACUGCGUCUGAUACUGGAUGGCUUGAGAUUGGGAGAGGGAUGUGGAAUUCCAGGUGUAGCGGUGAAAUGCGUAGAUAUCUGGAGGAACACCGGUGGCGAAGGCGGAUCUCUGGGCCUGUCCUGACGCUGAGGCGCGAAAGCUAGGGGAGCGAACAGG
This 253-nucleotide ribosomal RNA is filed under the name uncultured bacterium. RNAcentral's name for it is "partial 16S ribosomal RNA". It matches the Rfam family "Bacterial small subunit ribosomal RNA", at positions 524 to 776 of the family's 1533-position model. The record is from RNAcentral.